GGAUGAACGCUGGCGGCGUGCCUAAUACAUGCAAGUCGAGCGAACGGACGAGAAGCUUGCUUCUCUGAUGUUAGCGGCGGACGGGUGAGUAACACGUGGAUAACCUACCUAUAAGACUGGGAUAACUUCGGGAAACCGUAGCUAAUACCGGAUAAUAUUUUGAACCGCAUGGUUCAAAAGUGAAAGACGGUCUUGCUGUCACUUAUAGAUGGAUCCGCGCUGCAUUAGCUAGUUGGUAAGGUAACGGCUUACCAAGGCAACGAUGCAUAGCCGACCUGAGGGGGUGAUCGGCCACACUGGAACUGAGACACGGUCCAGACUCCUACGGGAGGCAGCAGUAGGGAAUCUUCCGCAAUGGGCGAAAGCCUGACGGAGCAACGCCGCGUGAGUGAUGAAGGUCUUCGGAUCGUAAAACUCUGUUAUUAGGGAAGAACAUAUGUGUAAGUAACUGUGCACAUCUUGACGGUACCUAAUCAGAAAGCCACGGCUAACUACGUG
This 498-nucleotide ribosomal RNA is filed under the name uncultured bacterium. RNAcentral's name for it is "partial 16S ribosomal RNA". It matches the Rfam family "Bacterial small subunit ribosomal RNA", at positions 27 to 507 of the family's 1533-position model. The record is from RNAcentral.